AAAAAGGUAAGCUAAAUAAGCUAGUAGACUCAUAAUCUAUUUAUAGAACUAAUCUCCUUUUUA
RNAcentral lists this transfer RNA (63 nucleotides) under Caligus clemensi. RNAcentral's name for it is "tRNA-Met". Lineage: Eukaryota; Metazoa; Arthropoda; Copepoda; Siphonostomatoida; Caligidae. The record is from RNAcentral.